This 750-nucleotide non-coding RNA is filed under the name Diopatra cuprea. RNAcentral describes it as "12S ribosomal RNA". The stretch from base 360 to 750 matches the Rfam family "Eukaryotic small subunit ribosomal RNA", at positions 1118 to 1821 of the family's 1831-position model. The record is from RNAcentral. Lineage: Eukaryota; Metazoa; Annelida; Polychaeta; Eunicida; Onuphidae.
UAUUUGUUUAAUUCUAGCAAUUUAAAUAAUCCUUUCAUCUUUAUAUAUGUAACUAUUAAACUCCCAUCUCUCUCUUAUUUUAAAACUUCAGUCAGUGCAAUAUAAAACUCUAUAUACUUUUCCAAAAGAUAUGGAAGAUGAAAAAAUAGGUGGUAAAAUUCGUGCCAGCAACCGCGGUUAUACGAUAACCUAAAUUUAUUUCUAUUGAUAAAGAGAAAUAAAUUAAAAAGAUAAAUUAAAUCACUAUUAGGUCCAAUUUUCAUUUAUAUUUAUCCAUAAUUAUCUCCCAAAUUUUUCUCGAAAGCUAAGAUAAAAACAAGGAUUAGAUACCCUUCUAUCCUUAGCUAUUAAUUCUUCACGGGUAGUAAAAACUCAAGUUUCAAACCCAAAGAUCUUGGCGGCAUCAUAAUCCAAUCAGGGGAACCUGCCUCUUAAUCCGAUACUCCACGUAAUCCCAACCUUAUUUUGACUUUCAGCCUGUAUAUUGCCGCCACAGCUUACCUUAAAAGAGAAGUAAGCUAAAAGAAUCCUUCUUCUAAAUUCCAGGUCGAAAUGCAGCCAAUAUUAAGGAGCAAGGUGGGUUACAAUCUUUAUUUAAAGACACUUUUUCAUAAAUACCUCAAGGUGGACUUGAAAGUAAUUUUUUAUAAUUCUAUGAAUUAGGAAAUCUAUGAUGUGUACAAAUCGCCCGUCACUCUCGUUGAAAAAUGAGAUAAGUCGUAACAUAGUUGAUGUAAUGGAAAUUGCAUC